UUUUUGAUGGCAGAUUUAAUUGCUAUAGAUUGUAAAUCUUUUUAUGAAAAAUUUUUUCUCAAAAUA
RNAcentral lists this transfer RNA (66 nucleotides) under Succineidae gen. n. sp. z RM-2021. Its description in RNAcentral is "tRNA-Tyr". Lineage: Eukaryota; Metazoa; Mollusca; Gastropoda; Stylommatophora; Succineidae. The record is from RNAcentral.